Molecule: transfer RNA, 64 nt
Filed under: Trichosia lengersdorfi
Lineage: Eukaryota; Metazoa; Arthropoda; Insecta; Diptera; Sciaridae
Description: tRNA-Cys
Source: RNAcentral
UGUUUUAUAGUGUUAUAUAAAAUAUUAAACUGCAAUUUUAAAGAAAUAAAAUCUAUUAAAACUU